Long non-coding RNA from Mauremys reevesii (Reeves's turtle), 966 nucleotides. RefSeq lists it as uncharacterized. The record is from RefSeq and is a predicted model, not a curated record. The transcript is spliced from 3 exons. Lineage: Eukaryota; Metazoa; Chordata; Testudines; Geoemydidae.
AGUUGUUUCUGAGUCCUGGUUGUAGAACUGUUCAUAUCACCUUUGGGAUCCCUUGCAGCUGAAGCAGAAAUUACAUGCUUCUCAGCAGAAGGCAACUCUGUUCCUGACUCACUGCGGAGGCUUUGCUGACCCAAGCGGAGGCAGAGAAAUACCUUGCAGAAGUUCAAGCCCAGGAGCAGCAAUGUUGAGCGCAAAAGGAGAGAUGACAAAAGGGAGCUUUCUUUGCCAUUGUAGUUAAAAGCAAUGUGACUGCUCUUCGCACAAGUGGAAAAGAAUUACUUUGAAAGUAAGAUGAAGGUAGACAGAAUAACUAUGGUGAGAGAAAUCAUCAUAGAAGAAAAUAGACAUCUGAAGCAUGAAAGGAAUUAAAUGAAGCACCAGCUGAAAGAAGGAAUGAAGGAAAGUUCCAAAUUGAAAGAAAAAGAAGUAUCUCAACGAUGCAGAGAGGCAGCACUGAAGAGGCUUUAGAGAAAGCUACCAUGCCUAAGUAUGAGGCCAAAAGGUGGAAUGCUUACUGGAAUGUGACAGAAGAGAAGAGGAGAGAAUGUGAUUUAUGGAUGAACACGUAAUGUUCCUGAGAUCCCAAGAGGAGAAAACAGACAGAUAAAAAAAUUAGUAUACCAUGGAUAUACAAUAUACAAUCAAUUAAAUACCAUCUUGACAAAAGAUUUUUUUAAAUAUUCUUUCCUGUGUGCUCAAAGGAUGUUUUAGAAACCUUUAGCAGCAUUAGGCAGAAGGUCACACUAGAUGGUCAUAAUGUUCCCUUCUGGUCUUAAAAUGUAUGAAUCUCUGAAGGCAAAAACAGGAAGUGCUUGGCAGACAAGAAGUUGGGGAGUGGUUCAAGAUCACAUGAAAACUGGGAGGAAGAGGAAAUGAAGGGAGCAAGAACGAGAAAAGAUUGGGAGGCAUAUGAGGGGUGGUAGGAAAGAUUAUGGAUGUUCAAAAAUUUUAAGUAACACUUAACAU